Molecule: long non-coding RNA, 259 nt
Filed under: Trifolium pratense (red clover)
Lineage: Eukaryota; Viridiplantae; Streptophyta; Magnoliopsida; Fabales; Fabaceae
Description: long non-coding RNA (TPRA_LNC001030)
Source: RNAcentral
AUGACUUAGUGCACCACUAGGAAGCAUAUAGAGAGCCUAGGGAGCAACUAAAGAUCAUCUAAAAACCCUCCAAAUACCAAAAACGAAAAUUACAAUAAAAAUAAAGAAAAUUGGACUUAAUUGUUUUCUAUUUAGUCCAAUAUUAUUAGACCAUACAUUAGCCCAAAGAUGCUUCUUAUCAUGUGAAAUGGGCUUCAAGUUGGGCUCAAGCAUCUUCAUCCAAAUAUUUUUUGUGCAUUUUUUUAUAAGUUUCCUUCCA